RNAcentral lists this long non-coding RNA (416 nucleotides) under Vulpes vulpes (red fox). RNAcentral's name for it is "lncRNA (ENSVVUG00000021516.1)". Lineage: Eukaryota; Metazoa; Chordata; Mammalia; Carnivora; Canidae. The record is from RNAcentral.
AUUUUUUUUUUUUUUACAGGAGUGGGUUUAACACUUGUGUUGGAGGGAAACGAGAAAGCAACUUCUGAGUUGAGAGAGAGUUCUGAAAGAAUCAAAGGGUUCAAGAUUAUAGGCUCUGGUGUGUGAUUAGAAGUUAUAUUAAUAAGAGAAGGAAGACAGGCUGGUCAAGGACCAGCCCCCCCGCCCUUGUUUGUAUCAGAUGGGAAAACAGAGACCGAUGGAACUUGCCUUAGAGGAAGAUGGACAAAUGGAUUGGACAGUACAAGUAGAAGGCUCUUUCCAGAGAGGAAGAUGUGCUAGACAUGCCGUGGACACUUCCCUCUUGAACCUGCCUGUGUUUGUCCACCCCAGCCUUGGAGGCGUCUAUGUGGCCAUGCAAGCUGGUACGUUUGCAGUACCCGAAUGGAGCCCUCUUG